Long non-coding RNA from Acyrthosiphon pisum (pea aphid), 591 nucleotides. RefSeq lists it as uncharacterized. The transcript is spliced from 4 exons. The record is from RefSeq and is a predicted model, not a curated record. NCBI's taxonomy places the organism in Eukaryota, Metazoa, Arthropoda, Insecta, Hemiptera, Aphididae.
UUAUCGUUAUCCGUUGUUAUUAUAUUGACGAGUAUUAAAAUCCGUUUCCGUAAAUACGUUAUCGGUUCAUAUUUAAAAUAUACACAUGGAUAAACGCUUUGAAUAAAUAAGUUGUGUAGACGAUGAUUGAGCACAUACACGCAAUGAUCAGCUUUAAUAUAAAUACACACUUGUGUUUAUGCAUGUACCGACGUCAUCUGAAGUGGAAACAAAAGUGAUUUGAUUUUAUUGAACAAAAAAUAAGAAUAUGACAAUUAUAACUUAUAAUAGAGAAAAUACACUUUCAAAAUCACAAAAAAACAUGAAUGUCCCACGUUAAAUGAUUCCAUCUCCCUCGAGUUUUUCGAAGGCAAUACGCAAAUAAUAUAGGACGAUUCACAAUGCAUACAACACACACAAAAGACAAAUACAAGUACAACAAGCAACGCACGAACACAUCGUGUUUCGAUUAUUUACUCACAUCAUACGCUUCAGAGCCCAUGAGUUGUUUCCAAUGACGUUCGCGAAUCGCUGGGUUUUGCAGUUCGCCGACAGCCCUCAGAGAAGUUACCAUAUUCUUCACUGUAGCUUCUAAGCACGUAUAGGUGUCCC